Molecule: ribosomal RNA, 374 nt
Filed under: Ctenochaetus cyanocheilus
Lineage: Eukaryota; Metazoa; Chordata; Actinopteri; Acanthuriformes; Acanthuridae
Description: partial 12S ribosomal RNA
Rfam family: Bacterial small subunit ribosomal RNA
Source: RNAcentral
CAUUGAUGAUAACUUACAAUUGCCAUCCGCCUGGGGACUACGAGCACCAGCUUAAAACCCAAAGGACUUGGCGGUGCUUUAGACCCACCUAGAGGAGCCUGUUCUAGAACCGAUAACCCCCGUUCAACCUCACCCUUCCUUGUUCUUCCCGCCUAUAUACCACCGUCGUCAGCUUACCCUGUGAAGGGCUAAUAGUAAGCAAAACUGGCAAAGCCCAAAACGUCAGGUCGAGGUGUAGCGUAUGGAAGGGGAAGAAAUGGGCUACAUUCACUAACUCAGUGUACACGAAUGACACCCUGAAACACGUGUCUGAAGGAGGAUUUAGCAGUAAGUAGAAAAUAGAGUGUUCUACUGAAACUGGCCCUGAAGCGCGC